Leopardus geoffroyi (Geoffroy's cat) is the source of this 2362-nucleotide long non-coding RNA. RefSeq lists it as uncharacterized. The record is from RefSeq and is a predicted model, not a curated record. Lineage: Eukaryota; Metazoa; Chordata; Mammalia; Carnivora; Felidae. The transcript is spliced from 5 exons.
AGCUCAGCGGCUGCUGGUAUUGAGGGUCGUGUGCGGCUGUGGGUGUACCUGCAGGUGGGAUUCGUAUGUCACCGGCCUCGCUGGGCCGGGUUCGUGACGUCAGAAAACAUGAAGGUAGCUGAAUCCAGGCCAGAACUAACAUUUGCUCAAGAUUGGGUCUCAAAAAGGUGUCCACUUGGACUUCACUGCCUUUGAGAAGACUCUGUUGGUUCUUCUUAGACCAGGUUAUGUGCCCUUUCAUGUACUCCUUACCUUGGUACUUAUCAGAAUCAUAACUGAAGACCAAAACCACCAAGUACUCCUGCCGCUGCCCUGCUGCCUUUACUGAGAGGCACCACUGACAGGGCAUGUCACAAGUCUGGCCAAUGAAGUAUGAAGGAAAAUCGGCUGUGUGCUUCAGGUUAGUGAACACUCACUCUUAAGAAGAGCUAUACUGGAUAAGAUGGUCUGUCCUUUCAAUGGCCAUUGUCAGGUACGAAUGGGACACUAGGAACCACCACACCCAUCUCACCACAAGGAACUGGCCUACGAACAGACCAACGUGCUGAGGAUGGCAGAGCCAGUAGAGAGAGAAAUUGGGCCUGUGAUGCUAUCAUUGAAAUUCUACACUAACCAACCCUCACAUGCCAUACUCUUGUAUUUCUUGUUAUGGUAGAUCACACAUUUAAACCAAUUACAUUGGGAUUUCUGACAUUUGAAGCUAAAGCCAUCCUUACUGACCCUGCAGCCCAAACCAUUUCCUCUGCACACUAUCUCUUCCACUGUAAGUGGAGAAUAGUCCCUCUAAGAACUCUCCCAGCUCUAACCACCCAGGAUGUUAUUAUUAUAGGUAAAAAUAGAGGUUAAAAAGGAAGAAUGAAUAUCUAGAGAAAGAUCAAAACACAAAUAUAGAUAUAGGAGUCAUCUAUGUAGUAUAAGACUUAGAAUCCUGGGGGUAAAUGAGAUUGUCAAGUGAAACUUACUGAUUGCUGUACAUGUUAACAAUAACACCUCAUGUUAUCCUCACAACAUUCUGCAAAGUUGGCAUCAUUGCUGUUUCCUAUGAAUAAACCAAGACACAGGUGUCCAGAAAAGUAUGAACAGUGUCCCAGACUCUAAGAGAUGGUCAAAAUUUCAACAGUAUCACAUGUUUCAAACAGGUCAAGAAGAAUGAAGACAAAGAAAACGUCAAAAGCCUUGAUGAUUAGGAAGUUCUUAAUGUUUUCAAGGUAACUGUUUCCAGAAAGUCAUAGGGGUGAAAGAAGAGAGUGAAAAGGGACAGAUGUUAAGGAAGUAAAGACCAUUUUUAUCAUAAGUUUAGCAACCAAAGAAAAGGGCAAGGUACUUCAAGGGAGGAACAAGUUUGAGAGAAAAAUUAUUUUGUUUCUUGUUUAAGAAGGCCUGACCACACCGGGGGGUAGAGGAAAAGGAACCAAUGGAGAAGAAGGGCUGAAGGGGCAGGAGAAGGAGGCCCUGGAACAGGUUCUGGAGGACAUGGGAGAAGAUGUGCUGUUUGGUUUCCCUCUGUUGUCUGCUCCUUGAGCUCCGGGUGAAUUGAGGGCUUUGAGGACCGAUCGAUGGCCAGACUGAGCUGAUGUAAUCACUGCUACAAGGUAUUAAUAAUGAAUGAAUGUUAUUUCUUUUAUGUGUUAUUUUAAUAGCCCUUUAUAAAAGGAUCACUGGAAAAAGACCAACAUAUCUUUCCAGAGUUUAUUUUUAAAAUGCAUAAUUCAUACAGAAAAGUAUUACUGUAUAGUGAAAGCCAACAUUUACCUCCUUCUCCUAACAGAAUGCAACCUAUGGAGAAGAAAAAGAUGAAAAAUAUUAUUAAAAAUAAAGUAGUUUAUACCGUGUCCCAAAUUUCACUGGGAAAUUACCUAGACCUACAUUACAGAGAGAAAAUUCAAAUAGAAUAAUAGAAGAUACUAUUUAGUAAGACUUAGGAUGAUAUGCCAGGCCCUGUGCUAAGCACUUCUUACACAUUAUCCUAUUUAAUCCUUAUAACACCCUGUGAGAUGGUUGUUAUUAACUUUAUUUUAUGCUGAAGAAACUGAAGCUUAGAGAUGUUAUACCCCCAAGAUCCACCUACUGUACUAUUCUGUACGAGUUUUCAUAAAUGAAAUAAUUAUUCAUAUAUACAGAGUUCUAACUAUGUUCUAAACUAUGUUCUAAAAAGUGCUGGGUACUUCCUACUCUUGUGGCAACUAUGGGAGGUGUCUGUUUUUAUUAUCUUUAGUAUAGAUGCAAACCUAAGGACCAGAAAAUCAGAUGAUAGAGCCCAUCCUUGAACCAAUAUGGUCUGAUACCUACAAAGAUUUUUUUUAAUUUUUUUUUGACCUUUACUUAUUAUUGAGAGACAGAGGAGACAGAGCAUGAGCAUGGG